Molecule: long non-coding RNA, 1421 nt
Organism: Orcinus orca (killer whale)
Lineage: Eukaryota; Metazoa; Chordata; Mammalia; Artiodactyla; Delphinidae
Exons: 2
Source: RefSeq, a predicted model, not a curated record
UAGGGGACACAUGGGGGAGAUGGCCGAGUUAGAUGGGACUCGGGGGGUGGGGGGUGCCAGGAGAAGGAAGGUUGAAGGGGAGACUAGAUGUUGGGGGAACUGUGCUGGGAAGAGGUGCGUCGGAAGUGCCCACAGUAACCCGCAGUAACCCAGGGGUCGGACAACACCCCAGGCCUGGCUGUCGCAGCUGCCUGCUGGAGAAGGGGAGCCUGACCUCUAGGAGGGCACCGCUCCUGUGUAGGCUGAGCGGCCCCCAGUCCCCUGGUUUGUAUGGAAGGAGGAAGGCAGAGAGACAGGAGGAGGAGGCUGAUGGUCUCGCGGCCCUUGCUGGAGACACACUUGGGCAGUUGACGCCCUGAAAAUGAGCAGGAAGGAUGGCAGUGGGGUACAGGGACGCAGAUGGGCAGGGAGGGCAGAACCUGAACUUGUCAAUACCAGCAGCCCCCUUUUUUUCCAGAGGGUUGUGAACCCGCCUGGGGAUGAGGCCUGGUGUUGUGGAAACUGAACUUAGCUUCGCGGGGCUGACAGUUCUGGCCCAGGGCGGUGGCAGUGCACCCCUUUGGACUUUUCCUCUAGGUCCCAUGCUUACCUCUUCUGUGACCUAACUCUGCCCCUCCUCCUCCCUCUAACUCUCUCGAGGUUACCCCUUCACUUAAAACAUUGCUUCUGGUAAUCUGGUAAGCCGGGAAAGUUGCUGGGGUCCCUGCCGGAGUCGGUAUUGUUGGUAAUCCCGAAGGAGGAGAGGCAUCCCCAGCGGAGACUCUGGGUGGGCAGGUUGGUCUUGCUUGCUGGUGGAGAGGGUGGGGAUUGAAGGUGCACCCUUGGGUGGGCCCACAGCGAUGGUACCAGCUGAAAGCUACAAAAAUGCUUCGUAGACCGUGGUUUGUUACUAUAGUGUUCAUCAUGGCAAGCUGGUGGCACCAGGAGAAAUGGAGCCCCUGGCCAGUGUGAGUCAUAGCAGUGCAGGAGAGGAGACCCUGGAGGAGGAGAGAGCCCGCCUAAAUUGGUGUCUACAGAUUGAAUUUCCAGAGGCUUAGGAGGAGGAGUUCUCCAAUGUCCUGUUUCCAGGCCUUGCUCAGGAAGCCCUGUAUUCAUUCAGGAGCCCAUCCUUUAAGGUUUUCAGAUGAGCUUAUGAGGGGGCAAUCUUUAAAAGUCCAAAGCAGAUGCAUCCGGGGCCUUCAGCAGAUGUGUUGCUUUGAGUGUGUAAUCCGGGAGCAGUGAUCUCUGGGCACGUGAAUGCCAGCAGGCACCUCUCCUGUUCUGGGGUGGAGGUUUUCAGAUGCUGCAUCUUCUAAAUUCAGUCUCCUGUUGUACUAGUUCUGUGCUACGAACCUUGCUUCCAGAGGACUCUUAAGCUGUAGAACAUUUUAACGCGGUGCCACAACACAGAGUGCUGCCUUGUAGACGGAGCUUGCAGAUGC